This 389-nucleotide long non-coding RNA is filed under the name Homo sapiens (human). Lineage: Eukaryota; Metazoa; Chordata; Mammalia; Primates; Hominidae. The record is from RNAcentral.
CAUUAACCAGCCAUGUGGCAGCCUCAGGAGUCUUUCAGAACCUGUUCUGGUUCUGAGGAUUGCCCGACGCACAAAUAGUUCUUUGCUCAAUUAAAUGCUGUUACAUUUAAUUUGUCUAAAGCUUUUCUUUUAACAGAUGUUUAUAAGAUAGGUGUUCAUAAGCAAGAGAAUGUAACUCUAUUUGCCUUUAAAUACUUGUUAUGAAGAAGUUAUAUUUGCAAAGUUCUAAGAAAGCUGCAAUCACUUGCUGUUGCCGGAAACUGCCUUGUGGCCUGGCGUCCUGGGAAUUUGCUUGGCUUUUUGUGGCCGCCAUCCAAAACUGGGAACCACAAGUCAAAGUUUUCCUUGUAGAAAUAUUUCACCUCGGCCGCCCGGGAGGCAGCGGCUGG